RNAcentral lists this unclassified non-coding RNA (336 nucleotides) under soil metagenome. RNAcentral's name for it is "partial contains 5.8S ribosomal RNA, internal transcribed spacer 2, and large subunit ribosomal RNA". The stretch from base 1 to 120 matches the Rfam family "5.8S ribosomal RNA", at positions 35 to 154 of the family's 154-position model. The record is from RNAcentral.
GAUGAAGAACGCAGCGAAAUGCGAUAAGUAAUGUGAAUUGCAGAAUUCAGUGAAUCAUCGAAUCUUUGAACGCACAUUGCGCCCGCCAGUAUUCUCGCGGGCAUGCCUGUUCGAGCGUCAUUUCAACCAUCAAGCCCCCGGCUUGUGUUGGGGACCUGCGGCUGCCGCAGGCCCUGAAAAGCAGUGGCGGGCUCGCUGUCACACCGAGCGUAGUAGCAUACAUCUCGCUCUGGGCGUGCUGCGGGUUCCGGCCGUUAAACCACCUUCAUAACCCAAGGUUGACCUCGGAUCAGGUAGGAAGACCCGCUGAACUUAAGCAUAUCAAUAAGCGGAGGA